This 220-nucleotide ribosomal RNA is filed under the name uncultured Glomus. Its description in RNAcentral is "partial small subunit ribosomal RNA". It matches the Rfam family "Eukaryotic small subunit ribosomal RNA", at positions 591 to 817 of the family's 1831-position model. Lineage: Eukaryota; Fungi; Glomeromycota; Glomeromycetes; Glomerales; Glomeraceae. The record is from RNAcentral.
CCAAUAGCGUAUAUUAAAGUUGUUGCAGUUAAAAAGCUCGUAGUUGAACUUCGAGACCGGUCUACUGGUCGUGCUUUUGUACGUACUGGUAUAAUCGGUUUCUCUCUUCUGACGAACUAUAAUGCCAUUAAUUUGGUGUUUUAGGGAAUCAGGACUGUUACUUUGAAAAAAUUAGAGUGUUUAAAGCAGGCUCACGCUUGAAUACAUUAGCAUGGAAUAA